This 246-nucleotide long non-coding RNA is filed under the name Ananas comosus (pineapple). RNAcentral's name for it is "long non-coding RNA (ACOM_LNC043432)". The record is from RNAcentral. Lineage: Eukaryota; Viridiplantae; Streptophyta; Magnoliopsida; Poales; Bromeliaceae.
CGCGAGCCGACUCGCUCAUUUGCCAGCCCUACUCUCGCCCUUGUCUUGUAGGGGACGAAUUCUACACUAUCACACUUACACCACGUCAUCAAUAACAGGCCAAUCAUCUUUCUUCUUUUCAAACAAAAGUAUAAUAAAAAUAUUUUUUCAAAAUCAUGAUGAAACAUAUAUCUCUGAAAGCAAAUUUUUGAUUGACUUGUUACGCCACGUCACCAAUAUACCCGUUGCAUUCUAGAAGUUUUCCUU